This is a long non-coding RNA of Populus nigra (black poplar), 801 nucleotides long. RefSeq lists it as uncharacterized. The record is from RefSeq and is a predicted model, not a curated record. The transcript is spliced from 2 exons. Lineage: Eukaryota; Viridiplantae; Streptophyta; Magnoliopsida; Malpighiales; Salicaceae.
CUCUCUUAUCUUGCUUUCUCUCUCUAAAAAAAUCGUAGUCUUUCUCUUCCAUUUGUCUGCAAUUUGCUCAUUUCAUUGACCUAAUCCUCUAUUUGUUUCUGCUUCUUCAUUAUGACAUAGUUCUCAAUUCUCAUACUUGUAAAACAUCAAUCAACCAUGUAGAAUCGUUGCUGUCUCACACUGAGAAGGUGAAAUCUAGAUCUCAGCAGGUAACCAUCUCACACAAAGGCUAAUGGGUUACAAAUUAUUUUGGUGUCUGUCAUAAUAUGGGAUAAAAAAAACAGAAAGAAAAAAGAAGCAACUUUGCUAUCAAAAGAAAGGGAAAAAUAGCGAAUACUGCCAUUUUCUUCUUCUUCUUUUGUUUCCCCUCUAAGCUGACUUGAGCCUAUGUAGUGAGAAAGGUCAGAAAAAAGUGUGAUGCCUCACUCCUGACCGAGAAAUGUCCAUACCAAAGAGUCUCUGAGCUAAAUAUUUAUCACUUGUGCACUGCCGGUAGUCUACACUAUUGCUUUUCGCUGAUGAAGAGGCAUCUUGGGCUUGGCUGCUGGCAAAGGACUGAUGGAGAAUACCAAAAAUAUUUUGCAGAACCUCACCCGCAUCAUUCAUUUGUCACUGUGAAUUUGAUUGAUGCGAAAUGUGAUAGUUUGGUGCAUGUACAGAAUGUGUUUGAUGAAAUGCCUCGAAGAAAUUUGUGUUAAUGGAAUGUUUUGGCAUUGUUGUAAUUAACAAGACAAUUUUAUUAUUUUGAGAUUCCAUGGACUUUUUAAUUAAUAAAAUAAUAAACAUGUAAAUAUUCAAAUA